Molecule: long non-coding RNA, 3352 nt
Filed under: Salvia miltiorrhiza (redroot sage)
Lineage: Eukaryota; Viridiplantae; Streptophyta; Magnoliopsida; Lamiales; Lamiaceae
Description: long non-coding RNA (SMIL_LNC007081)
Source: RNAcentral
GUAUUGCACAAUUCAAAUAAAAGGAAAGUUCCAUCUUCUUUAUUCAUAAAUGAUCCUUUUGUGCAAUAAUAUUACACAAAAUGAUCAAUUACAAGGAAUCAAUGAAACAUUUUUUUUUAAUCAAAUAAAAGAAAACCAACCAUAAUAUGGUUAGUGCACAAUUUCAAGAGACAAAUUGAUGACGAAAAUUUCAUCAAUGGAAAAAGCUCAUAAACUUCGUUUUCAGAUCCUCGGCUUCCUUCUCAGUUGUCUGCACAACCACGGAGAAUGACAUCUCAGAUUCACUCAGAAGCUUCCGGUUUCCGCGGCAUAGAUGUUCCGCUAGACAAGCCCUCCUGACGUGGUUUAUCGGGACAUCCUGCUUCGAGUUACCUACGAGAGAACUGAAGUCGAUAGCAGCGGCCGACGACGAAAAAAGAGCGCUCAUGACAAAUAGUGCCGCCAACAUCAAUGCUGCAGUCUUCGCCAUGCUAACACCUUUUUUUUUGAAAGGAUGAUUUUUAAUUCUCUUGAAAUAUUGCACUGUUUUCUUGGUUUUGUUUUCUGAUAAUCUCAUGGCUUUAUAUAGGAGAAAAAGUUGCAGUUGAGAUUCAAAUUUUGUUGGUUGGUGUAAUUUUAUGAGUAUUUUGAGGAGGACCAUUCAUUUCAAUUAGUGUUGAUCCGAAAAUUACUGAGUUGCAUGUUCUUCUAUUUUUUUUUUUUUUUGCAGUUGUGUUAUUUUUUAUUUUUCUGUCUACCACAUUAAAGGGGGAAAUUAUUGACACCAUUAUUAAAGUAUAUAUAAAUGACACUACUUGAUUUCUCCUACAAUUCUUAGUAUUAUUUUCCGGUUGCUCAGAUUUUGAGUUAAUUUGUGUAACCUCUUUUGAAUGAGCUAUAAAAUCUUCUUCCAAUUUGCUUCAUCUGCUGCGCAGAUUUUGUCUAUGGAUAUCCGUUGCUAGUUCAAUUUUUUCUCUUUUAGUAGCUUUUUGUGAUAAUCACAAAUUGAUCGUCUGAACUGUGUUAAUUACGAUUAUCUUAUGGUGCAACUGAUGUUUCGAGUACCUUCUCCCCUUAUGAGGCCUUUUAAGGGGAUGAUGCAUGGCCCAAUUCUAAUAUGGUAUCAGAGUAAGUCCAAAUUUGACGAGGACUUUGUUUGUUCACGUAGAAGUUGUGUAUGAGUCAUACUGGCUUACACGUGCCAUCGAUUUUGUAAUGAUCUUGUCUCCAAAUAAUUAAAUUAAUUGACAAUUCAAAAAUAAAAUUAUCUAACUCAUGCCCAAUAAUCUUGUGAAGAUUUUCACGAUAACGUGACAAAGGCCACCCAUAAACGAUUGCUGAUGACGAAAAUACGAGCUGAAAUUUAAUGGCAAGCAAGCAAGAUCAGACAAGACAAUGAAAAUGUAAGGGAAAGAAAGACUACUUUUUUACAUCCAUGGCUUUCAGUAGAGCAUUGCCCCAAUAAGCUUAUUGUCAUCAUAAUGCAUGGGGCCUUUACGUUGCAUGAUUGAUAAGCUGCAUGAUUGAGUAUUUUUAUUAUUUACAGUAGGAUUUCUCCAAUUCCACCUUUUCCAUGGGAUAUAAAUCAAGCAAAACUAGUUUAAAUAAUAGAAAUAAUCAACGGUUUUGAGAUAUCCCAAUGGUUUUUGGGUUUCUACACAAUUCCCCCCAACUGCUUUUAACCCAACAAAAAUGAAUAACAACAUCAAAUAUUUAACGUGAAAAUAUUGUAUUUAAUUAAAAAAAACCUAAUAAUUGAUAUUUAAAUAUAAAUCUAAACUUAGAAAGCCAAAAAUUGUCGAAGUAUUCUAUAAAUAAAAUUCGAGCUCGACUCAAUAACAAACGAAUCAAGCUUGAGUGUAAUCCUAUUCAGAUCAGUCCAGCUUGAUUAUACCUUUUCAUACCUGUGCGCCGCUCUCUUCUACAUUAUUAGACACGUGUUCCUUGCUCGUCCCUUGGAGUUUUAUUGCUAGAUGGAAAACGAUGCUUGAUCUUUUAAAUUCUAUUAAUUUUCCUUGAAGGCAAUAUAUUGGCGAAUCGGUGCACUUCUUCCGGUUUGUGGGAUCACGUGCGACCUUCGAUCGAGUGAUUGAUACAUUUCGAGUUCGUGGUUUGGGUGCUGGAAGAUGGCUAUCUUGUUUUUGAUAUACGACAAACACUUGGCAUGCUCUCUUGCUCUUUAGUCUUUUGGUUCAAGUUUUCGUUGAGACUUUACGUCGAGCACCUGGUGGGUUGGCCGAAGCUUGUGUUUUUCAAAGUUAUCUACAUCAAAUGUCUUCUUUAUUUCAUUCAUUGGUUCAUGUGGUUGAUGGUCUCACUCCUUAAUUCGAGCGGUUUUUGGCUGUGUUCAUCAUCGGUGGGCCGAGGUUGGGAGCCUGGUGCUAUGGGGUUUGGUCCCCUUUUUUGUGCUGUUUCUUCAUUGUUUUGUGGCAAGCCAAGGUGGCUUUUGCUUGGGGAUUUUUGGUGCGCUCGAGUUUGGUUCCUUUUUUCAAUGCUGUUUCUUCGUUGUUUUGAGGCUAGACGAGAUGUUUUAUAGGUUGUUUUUUGUUGGUUGGUUGCGCUUAUUUUUUCUUUGUGUUCUUGUAAUAAACGAGUACUCUUUUUGCUUUACUAGUGUUUUCAUCAUUGGGUUUUUGUCCGAAAUAUUUUAGUGAGGCUCAACCCUUACUCUGCAAUUUGUGCUUUCAAGGGUUAUUAGGUUUUCUUUUCUUUAUUCUGUUUUCAAUAAAAUCUUAUUUCAGCAUUGCAAUUCCAAAUAACAAUAGAGUUCCAUCUUCUUUAUUCAUAAAUGAUCUAUUGUGCAAUAAUAUUACACGAAAUGAUCAAUUACAAGGUAAGAGUCAAGGGAAUUUUUUCUUUUAUCAAAUAAAAGAAAAUCAACCAUAAUAUGGUUAGUGCACAAUUUCAAGAGAAAAAUUAAUAUAAAGAAUUUGAAAAAAAAAAUCCUCAAUGGAAAAGGCUCAUAAACUUUGUUUUCAGAUCCUCAGCUUCCUUCUCCGUUGUCUGCACAACGACGGAGAAUGACAUGUCAGAUUCAUUCAGAAGCUUCCGGCUGCCACGGCAUAGAUGUGCGGUUAGGCAAGGCCUCCUGACGCGGUUUGUCGGGACAUCCUGCUUCGAGUUACCUACGAGAGAACUGAAGUCGAUAGCAGAGGCGGCUGACGACGACGAAAAAAGAGCGCUCAUGACAAAUAGUGCCAACAACAUCAAUGCUGCAGUCUUCGCCAUGCUAACAGCUCUUUUUUCUUUUAAAGAAUGGAGGUAGAAAUGUAGGAUUAUUUUUCACUUGAAAUGUUGCACUGUUUUCUUGGUUUUAUUUUCUGAUACUCAUCACUUUAUAUAGGAGAAAAAGUUACAGUUGAGAUUGAAAUUU